RNAcentral lists this ribosomal RNA (492 nucleotides) under uncultured bacterium. RNAcentral's name for it is "partial 16S ribosomal RNA". It matches the Rfam family "Bacterial small subunit ribosomal RNA", at positions 29 to 507 of the family's 1533-position model. The record is from RNAcentral.
AGUGAACGCUGGCGGUAGGCCUAACACAUGCAAGUCGAACGGCAGCACAGUAAGAGCUUGCUCUUACGGGUGGCGAGUGGCGGACGGGUGAGGAAUACAUCGGAAUCUACUUUUUCGUGGGGGAUAACGUAGGGAAACUUACGCUAAUACCGCAUACGACCUACGGGUGAAAGCAGGGGAUCUUCGGACCUUGCGCGAUUGAAUGAGCCGAUGUCGGAUUAGCUAGUUGGCGGGGUAAAGGCCCACCAAGGCGACGUUCCGUAGCUGGUCUGAGAGGAUGACAGCCCAAAAGGGAACGGGACCACGCACAAGACCCCACGGGGGGGAAGAAGGGGGGAAUAUGGGACAAGGGGGACAAGCCUACCCCACCCAUCCCGGGUGGGGGAAGAAGGCCUUGGGGUUGUAAACCCUUUUUGUGGGAAAAGAAAAGCAGCGGUUAAAUCCCCCGGUGUUCUGAGGUUACCAAAAAAAAAAGCCCCGGCUAACUUCGUG